Molecule: unclassified non-coding RNA, 349 nt
Filed under: fungal sp.
Lineage: Eukaryota; Fungi
Description: partial internal transcribed spacer region
Rfam family: Eukaryotic small subunit ribosomal RNA (bases 1-46)
Source: RNAcentral
AAGUCGUAACAAGGUUUCCGUAGGUGAACCUGCGGAAGGAUCAUUAACACGUAUCCACGUAUCAACACUCUGUGAACUUAAUCUCCCUGACAUUAGAAAAGUUGUUAGCAUAGCUAGUGAUGGGUGUAUAGCGUAAAAAACUAUAUGCAGCUGUGAGAACUAGGGUUUCGAACCCGGCGCUUUCUUUUGUUGGGCCAACAUUUCUAUCACUACAAACACACCAUUUUAACCUUUAACUCAUCUUGACUGAUGUACUUAUGUAAGAGAAAUCUGGCAUGAGUCUUUAUCUAAACUAAGCACAACUCUUAGCAAUGGAUAUCUUGGUUCUCACAAAGAUGAAGAACGCAGC